This 215-nucleotide ribosomal RNA is filed under the name Glomeromycotina sp. RNAcentral's name for it is "partial small subunit ribosomal RNA". The stretch from base 40 to 215 matches the Rfam family "Eukaryotic small subunit ribosomal RNA", at positions 686 to 864 of the family's 1831-position model. The record is from RNAcentral. Lineage: Eukaryota; Fungi; Glomeromycota.
GGGUCAGUAGGUUGGUCGUGCCACCGGUACGUACUGGUCUCACUGAUUCCUCCUUCCUGAAGAACCGUAAUGCCAUUAAUUUGGUGUUGCGGGGAAACAGGACUGUUACUUUGAAAAAAUUAGAGUGUUUAAAGCAAGCUAACGCUUGAAUACAUUAGCAUGGAAUAAUGAAAUAGGACGUUGAUCCUAUUCUGUUGGUCUCUAGGAUUGACGUA